Molecule: precursor RNA, 1633 nt
Filed under: Brachypodium distachyon (stiff brome)
Lineage: Eukaryota; Viridiplantae; Streptophyta; Magnoliopsida; Poales; Poaceae
Description: precursor microRNA 5200a.7
Rfam family: MIR5200 microRNA precursor family (bases 546-637)
Source: RNAcentral
AUCGGAGGAGCAGUGCCUGCCCAGCGCCCACCCAGGCUUCCCUUGUAGAACAAAGAAAAAAUUCUCACGUAGCUGGGCUCCCGUAUACGCGCGCCCGGCCGGCCUCCUCCACAGCCAGGGCAGGACUCGACCGCGCGGGGCCGGCCGGAACAAGAGACCUAUUUUGCAUCCAUGAUUAAUCUUUUCUGUGUUGAUUUAACUAUACAAUAAGCUCAAUAGAUGCUUUCCUGUCAAGUACCUGUAAAAAUAUAAAACGAUUUUUUUUCCAGAUAAAAAACACGGAGUACAAAUGAGCAUGGCUAUAUUUUAGGCGUCUGAUUUUUAAGGAAAAAACUUCAAAAUAGUCGCCGCAUCAGAACGUGUUGUCCUUGGUUAAGAUUCGAUGAUCAAACACGUCCACUGAUCUCUGACUAAACUAAAAAAAAGAUGACUUCUUAAUAGCAAAACCGAAAGUACUCUUCAUAAUUUUAUGGAACAAAUAUAGACCUAAAAUUAUUCUAGUUUCAGGUUGCUUCGAGUUGAAGAUGUACGCAAAAUCCUCAAAGCACUAGAGCCUUAGGGAAUAUCUACACUAGUAAGUUCUUUUCCUUUCUUCUGGACAUGCUUAGCAGUGUAGAUACUCCCUAAGGCUUCGGUCGUAUUGGAUUGUUGUGGACAUUUGAGAAUCGUUGCAUGCAAAAGUGCUAAGCAUGCCCAACCUCCCCAGUGCCUGACACCUCCACCGCUCGUGGCUGCCUCGCGAUUCGGACACAGCUGCCAUUUUCCCCCACGCCUGAUUUUUCAUCCGCGUUUCUCACCUGUUUAAUCCUUCGAUAAAGCUGACCUCCCCUCCUGCGCCUCUGCUCCAUCCAGAGCACCUCAGGCCUACAUUGCUAGGAUGUAGCAUGUUACCGUUGCCGGCCGGACGCCCGUGACCCUUCAUUAUUUGGCGAUGCCGACGGCGACACCUUUCAACACCCCCACCCCCUCAGACGAUCAGCGGCUAUGGUGGUGGACGAGCCGUACUGGUGUCCUUUCCCGAUGGUGAGGUACCUCCUGUCGCCGGCCGCCUCCCACCGCCUGCCCUUAAGCCAGAGCAUGGCGCAAGGGUUCAUGGCUCCGGGCGUCCCUCUCUCCUCUUCAAAGCUGACCACCGCAUCUUCCGCGCCAUUGCGUUCAUGUGCCACCAUGGCAUCGAUGUCGACGCCGUCCCAGGAGAGGAGGCGGCACGGGUCGGCACGGAAAGAGGGCGCUGCAGUGGCGCGUCCCAGGAGAGCAGCAGGCCAGGGCAACGGGCCUCGGAAUGCUGAGGUCCAGUCGCCGACGGCCACGAGGUUCCUGUGGGCGCGGAGGGAUGCCUUCCUAGCCGCCCGCCGUCAUCUUCUUCCGGCAGGUGAACAGCGGCGGCACCACGUCAAUCGGCUCAGCAAAACAGGUUCUUCCCGCUGAGCUCGGAGUCAGGGGCCUGGUUCGGCCAUUGCUACAUACCCAGGCACUGCCUCGUGCUCCUGAUUGGCAACGGCCAGUGCCCCAUAGUCAAUAGUGGAAUCCCUUGAAUGUUGGUCAGUAAGCUGCUGCAGAUUUCUUGCAAUUUGUGUUUGAUUUGAUUUCUGAAUAAUUUUUAUUUCUUGCUUCGUCGUCAAAAAAAAAAAAA